RNAcentral lists this ribosomal RNA (253 nucleotides) under uncultured bacterium. RNAcentral describes it as "partial 16S ribosomal RNA". It matches the Rfam family "Bacterial small subunit ribosomal RNA", at positions 524 to 776 of the family's 1533-position model. The record is from RNAcentral.
UACAGAGGGUGCAAGCGUUAAUCGGAAUUACUGGGCGUAAAGCGUGCGUAGACGGUUAUGUAAGUCGGGUGUGAAAGCCCCGGGCUCAACCUGGGAAUGCCAUUCGAGACUGCAUAGCUAGGGUGCGGAAGAGGGAAGCGGAAUUUCCGGUGUAGCGGUGAAAUGCGUAGAUAUCGGAAGGAACACCAGUGGCGAAAGCGGCUUCCUGGACCGGUUCUGACGCUGAGGCGCGAAAGCGUGGGGAGCAAACGGG